UGGAGUAUAGCCAAGUGGUAAGGCAUCGUUUUUUGGUACCGGCAUGCAAAGGUUCGAAUCCUUUUACUCCAG
RNAcentral lists this transfer RNA (72 nucleotides) under Triticum aestivum (bread wheat). It matches the Rfam family "tRNA". Rfam says of the family: Transfer RNA (tRNA) molecules are approximately 80 nucleotides in length. Lineage: Eukaryota; Viridiplantae; Streptophyta; Magnoliopsida; Poales; Poaceae. The record is from Rfam by way of RNAcentral. RNAcentral also lists the same sequence under 1 other name.